Non-coding RNA from Oncorhynchus mykiss (rainbow trout), 1549 nucleotides. NCBI's taxonomy places the organism in Eukaryota, Metazoa, Chordata, Actinopteri, Salmoniformes, Salmonidae. The record is from RefSeq and is a predicted model, not a curated record.
GUUGUCUGGUUACAUAGUGAGGUAAAGGUUGUUUAUGUUGUCUGGUUACAUAGUGAGGUAGAGGUUGUUUAUGUUGUCUGGUUACAUAGUGAGGUAGAGGUUGUUUAUGUUGUCUGGUUACAUAGUGAGGUAGAGGUUGUUUAUGUUGUCUGGUUACUGGUUACAUAGUGAGGUAGAGGUUGUUUAUGUUGCCUGGUUACUGGUUAUAGAGUGAGGUAGAGGUUGUUUAUGUUGUCUGGUUACAUAGUGAGGUAGAGGUUGUUUAUGUUGUCUGGUUACAUAGUGAGGUAAAGGUUGUUUAUGUUGUCUGGUUACAUGGUGAGGUAGAGGUUGUUUAUGUUGUCUGGUUACAGAGUGAGGUAGAGGUUGUUUAUGUUGUCUGGUUACAUAGUGAGGUAGAGGUUGUUUAUGUUGUCUGGUUACUGGUUACAUAGUGAGGUAGAGGUUGUUUAUGUUGCCUGGUUACUGGUUACAUAGUGAGGUAGAGGUUGUUUAUGUUGUCUGGUUACUGGUUACAUAGUGAGGUAGAGGUUGUUUAUGUUGCCUGGUUACAUAGUGAGGUAGAGGUUGUUUAUGUUGUCUGGUUACUGGUUACAUAGUGAGGUAGAGGUUGUUUAUGUUGUCUGGUUACUGGUUACAUAGUGAGGUAGAGGUUGUUUAUGUUGUCUGGUUACAUAGUGAGGUAGAGGUUGUUUAUGUUGUCUGGUUACUGGUUACAUAGUGAGGUAGAGGUUGUUUAUGUUGUCUGGUUACAUAGUGAGGUAGAGGUUGUUUAUGUUGUCUGGUUACUGGUUACAUAGUGAGGUAGAGGUUGUUUAUGUUGCCUGGUUACAUAGUGAGGUAGAGGUUGUUUAUGUUGUCUGGUUACUGGUUACAUAGUGAGGUAGAGGUUGUUUAUGUUGUCUGGUUACAUAGUGAGGUAAAGGUUGUUUAUGUUGUCUGGUUACAUAGUGAGGUAGAGGUUGUUUAUGUUGUCUGGUUACAUAGUGAGGUAGAGGUUGUUUAUGUUGUCUGGUUACUGGUUACAUAGUGAGGUAGAGGUUGUUUAUGUUGUCUGGUUACAUAGUGAGGUAGAGGUUGUUUAUGUUGUCUGGUUACUGGUUACAUAGUGAGGUAGAGGUUGUUUAUGUUGUCUGGUUACAUAGUGAGGUAGAGGUUGUUUAUGUUGUCUUGUUACUGGUUACAUAGUGAGGUAGAGGUUGUUUAUGUUGUCUGGUUACAUAGUGAGGUAGAGGUUGUUUAUGUUGUCUGGUUACUGGUUACAUAGUGAGGUAGAGGUUGUUUAUGUUGUCUGGUUACAUAGUGAGGUAGAGGUUGUUUAUGUUGUCUGGUUACUGGUUACAUAGUGAGGUAGAGGUUGUUUAUGUUGUCUGGUUACUGGUUACAUAGUGAGGUAGAGGUUGUUUAUGUUGCCUGGUUACAUAGUGAGGUAGAGGUUGUUUCCUGGAUUCUUGGAUGCAGAGAAAUAUGGAUUGGUGACAUUUUUUAUUAUUUGUGUGUUUGUGUGUGUGUGUGUGUGUGUGUGUGUGUGUGUGUGUGUGUGUGUUUG